CCAGAUGAUUAAAAAUCAUUUGUUAGCAAGGCCGGGCAAGACCGGUGCCAGCCGCCGCGGUAACACCGGCGGCCCGAGUGGUAGCCGUUUUUAUUGGGUCUAAAGGGUCCGUAGCCGGCCAGAUAAGUCCUUUGGGAAAUCUGGCAGCUUAACUGUCAGGCUUCUAAGGGAUACUGUCAGGCUUGGGACCGGAAGAGGUAAGGGGUACUCCAGGGGUAGGAGUGAAAUCUUGUAAUCCCUGGGGGACCAUCUGUGGCGAAGGCGCCUUACCAGAACGGGUCCGACGGUGAGGGACGAAAGCUAGGGGAGCAAACCGGAUUAGAUACCCGGGUAGUCCUAGCUGUAAACGAUGCUCGCUAGGUGUCAGACACGGUGCGACCGUGUUUGGUGCCGCAGGGAAGCCGUUAAGCGAGCCACCUGGAAGUACGUCGCAAGGC
RNAcentral lists this ribosomal RNA (437 nucleotides) under uncultured euryarchaeote. RNAcentral describes it as "bacterial SSU rRNA". It matches the Rfam family "Archaeal small subunit ribosomal RNA", at positions 408 to 849 of the family's 1478-position model. RNAcentral also lists the same sequence under 1 other name. The record is from RNAcentral. Lineage: Archaea; Methanobacteriati; Methanobacteriota.